AGACACAGCAGCAUCUCAUGACAUCGGGUUUCAACUCAUCUGUUGGAAGACACCAUGAGAGUUGCCUUGUAAAGACGCACGUCUGGGGAGACAGAGAAGUUGGUGGUGAGCAGAUUCGAUUGGCUUCACCUCCGGCACAGAUCCUGACCUGUUGGUCUGAAAAUCAACUCCUGUCAGCUGAAACAGAUCUUCUGCAUGUGAGGAUCUGAUCACCAGAAUGCUGCGUUAAGAGGUCUGAAGGAGGCUCAGACCGCUGCUCAUCCUCUAAAGAGCUUAGAUCCUCCAUCUGAACAGGGCGUCCGACAAGAAGCCAUACUCUUUCAAUAUGAGCACAUWCUACAAGCACCACCAAWGAUGACAUCUAACCCCUUUUAAUCCAAGUCUUUGCUGGGGAGACGCGACAUUGUGCUACACUCAAGAAGCUCCAGUGAGUUAAUUUUACCAGACUGCAAAGCCAGAGGGAGAAUGACUCCCAAGUUUGAUGCUUGUGAACUUUGACACUAAUUUUCAACACUGACCAAUAGCAAACUGCUGUGACAGUGCUGACCUUUGAGAGAGGGGAAAGCUGUAGAGUACAUAACAAAGGAAGCGGUAGAUUUACAACRACUCUGCAUUGCAAAAGUUUUCAAACCUGUA
Poecilia reticulata (guppy) is the source of this 636-nucleotide long non-coding RNA. RefSeq lists it as uncharacterized. NCBI's taxonomy places the organism in Eukaryota, Metazoa, Chordata, Actinopteri, Cyprinodontiformes, Poeciliidae. The record is from RefSeq and is a predicted model, not a curated record.